AAGUCGUAACAAGGUUUCCGUAGGUGAACCUGCGGAAGGAUCAUUAACAAAUCUAAAUCGCGAUCUAGUGGGUGGGCCGAGGGUGAAAGCAAGUGGGUGGGCAGAGGGCAUGGGAUGGGGGCCGGUCGAGGGCGUUGGCAGAGGGCGUUGGCAGAGGGCGGUUCAUUAUCAUGAUGGGCCAAAUACAAUACAACUUGCAUUAUGCAAUAUACAACCUUUAACAAUGGAUCUCUAGGCUCUU
This 241-nucleotide unclassified non-coding RNA is filed under the name fungal sp. RNAcentral describes it as "partial internal transcribed spacer region". The stretch from base 1 to 46 matches the Rfam family "Eukaryotic small subunit ribosomal RNA", at positions 1786 to 1831 of the family's 1831-position model. The record is from RNAcentral. Lineage: Eukaryota; Fungi.